GAUGAACGCUGGCGGCGUGCUUAACACAUGCAAGUCGAACGAAGCACUUUAUUUGAUUUCCUUCGGGACUGAUUAUUUUGUGACUGAGUGGCGGACGGGUGAGUAACGCGUGGGUAACCUGCCUUGUACAGGGGGAUAACAGUUGGAAACGGCCGCUAAUACCGCAUAAGCGCACAGCAUCGCAUGAUGCAGUGUGAAAAACUCCGGUGGUAUAAGAUGGACCCGCGUUGGAUUAGCUAGUUGGUGAGGUAACGGCCCACCAAGGCGACGAUCCAUAGCCGACCUGAGAGGGUGACCGGCCACAUUGGGACUGAGACACGGCCCAAACUCCUACGGGAGGCAGCAGUGGGGAAUAUUGCACAAUGGGCGAAAGCCUGAUGCAGCGACGCCGCGUGAGCGAAGAAGUAUUUCGGUAUGUAAAGCUCUAUCAGCAGGGAAGAUAAUGACGGUACCUGACUAAGAAGCACCGGCUAAAUACGUG
Molecule: ribosomal RNA, 481 nt
Filed under: uncultured bacterium
Lineage: Bacteria
Description: partial 16S ribosomal RNA
Rfam family: Bacterial small subunit ribosomal RNA
Source: RNAcentral